UCAAACAAGGUCAAAGGACCUUGGAGAAAAAAUUUCAGAAUUUUUGGAAACUUAAAAGUAUUCUUAAACAAUUAAAAACAAUCACAAAAUCAAUUAAAUCAUGACAAAAUAUUAAUAAUGAUCCAAAAAAUAAUUUUAAUUCAGAAAAUGAAAGAAGAUUUUAUUUAAUUAUUUUGGUGAAACUCUCAUAUUUUUUAGAUCAAUAUUAAAAUUAAUAUGAAUUAAUGAAAAUCAAAGGAAUAAAA
This 245-nucleotide long non-coding RNA is filed under the name Lathyrus oleraceus (garden pea). RNAcentral's name for it is "Pisum sativum (pea) long non-coding RNA (PSAT_LNC005715)". The record is from RNAcentral. Lineage: Eukaryota; Viridiplantae; Streptophyta; Magnoliopsida; Fabales; Fabaceae.